UGCUAGCUCAUGGCCCGGUUGUACCAAGGCUGUUGCUGCUGCUGCUGCUGCUGCUGCUGCUGCUGCUGCUGCUUCAUGUUAAGAGUUUCCAAUGAGAGAGAUUUGUUCUUCUUCCUGUUUUCCCUUUGAGUUCCCCCAGAACCAGUCCCUGCUGCGGUAGCCAAAAUCACAUUCUUCACUUUGUCACCAUCAAAAUCAAAUUACCUAGCAAGCAGGUGCUGACAAGGCCUGUCACUACACAAAGUUAAUUAAAAAAAGAAAAAAAGAAAGAAAGAAAAGCAUGGCAUUCAAGAUUCCUUCACAGAAAUCUGUGUUGGGGCAGGAAAAUGCUCCGUGAAUUAUGUCCUCAUGAAGUCACCAUCUGGCCGAUAUUCCUCUCGCGGCUCAGAAUACCAAAGCCAUCCUUCAGCACAGAUGCUGGGCCAGAUCAGCGCGAGCAAGUGACCGCCGUCAUAAACCCACGUGCCAUCAAGGGUGGCCUCAGAACCGUGAACUUCUCUGCCUGCUGACUUUCUCCAGCCUGGAGCAGUGAUGUGGGAUCCUCUGAGCGUCAUGCCCUUCAGAUUCUUCAGGGUGGAUGCUCCAAAGCACUAAGAACUCUCUCUCCUUAGAUUCCUGUCUCUGCGUAACCUUACUGCGCUAUUAUGCCAGCAAGAUCCAGUCCAAUAAUUCAGUUAUAUUAAAGACCUCUUUGUUGGACUGAAUGGUUCUGUGCCCACCCUAUCCCUCAAAUUCAUAUGUUGAUGCCCUAACCCCCAGCGUGAUGGUAUUUGGAGAUGGGGGCCUUCUGGCAGUAAUUAGGGCUAGAUGAGGUCAUAAAUGUGGGCCUCAUGUUGCACUUAGUAACUUCAGAAGGAGAGGAACAGUUAGAUCACUGCUUGCCCUCUCUGCUAUGUGAGGUCACAGAAGGUGACUGUCCGUGAGCCUGGAAGAGAACCCUCACCAGGAAUGGAAUCUGCAGGCACCUGGACCUUGGGCUCCCAGCCUCCA
This is a long non-coding RNA of Mustela lutreola (European mink), 990 nucleotides long. RefSeq lists it as uncharacterized. The transcript is spliced from 3 exons. The record is from RefSeq and is a predicted model, not a curated record. NCBI's taxonomy places the organism in Eukaryota, Metazoa, Chordata, Mammalia, Carnivora, Mustelidae.